RNAcentral lists this ribosomal RNA (408 nucleotides) under Triticum aestivum (bread wheat). RNAcentral's name for it is "partial small subunit ribosomal RNA". Lineage: Eukaryota; Viridiplantae; Streptophyta; Magnoliopsida; Poales; Poaceae. The record is from RNAcentral.
AUAAACUUCCGCCCCUCUCUCCCACGCUACCUCUCUUCCGCCGCCGCCGCCGCCACCUCCCAUCCAAGAUCCUCCGGCUCUGUCGUGCAUGCCACCGGAGGAAGGGCCCCUUCCGAGACCCGCUUCUCCACCGAGUCAAUUCGUGUGGGAGCCAUUGUAGUCCUCUCCCCUCGGUGCGCGGCGCCGGAGAGAGCGACAAGGAGGUCCAGCAGUCCAUGCUGCCAUCGUCCUACCUCGUCGUGUGGCGUCGAAGAGAAGGACGAGGAGGUUGAGCAGUCCGUGCUGUCUUCGCCAUCGCCUGAUCUGGUUAAAGUUGGAGAUGCCGCCACCGUCGGCGCCUCUAGCGCAUCCACAAACUGGCGCAACCUCCCUCAGCUCCCCGCCCUCGCCCACAAGGACAAACACUAG